GAUGAACGCUGGCGGCGUGCUUAACACAUGCAAGUCGAACGGAAAGGCCCAAGCUUGCUUGGGUACUCGAGUCGCGAACGGGUGAGUAACACGUGGGUGAUCUGCCCUGCACUUCGGGAUAAGCCUGGGAAACUGGGUCUAAUACCGGAUAGGACCACAUUUUGGAUGGUGUGGUGGAAAGUUUUUCGGUGUGGGAUGAGCUCGCGGCCUAUCAGCUUGUUGGUGGGGUAAUGGCCUACCAAGGCGUCGACGGGUAGCCGGCCUGAGAGGGUGUACGGCCACAUUGGGACUGAGAUACGGCCCAGACUCCUACGGGAGGCAGCAGUGGGGAAUAUUGCACAAUGGGCGCAAGCCUGAUGCAGCGACGCCGCGUGGGGGAUGACGGCCUUCGGGUUGUAAACUCCUUUCGCUAGGGACGAAGCGCAAGUGACGGUACCUGGAGAAGAAGCACCGGCUAACUACGUG
RNAcentral lists this ribosomal RNA (465 nucleotides) under uncultured bacterium. Its description in RNAcentral is "partial 16S ribosomal RNA". It matches the Rfam family "Bacterial small subunit ribosomal RNA", at positions 28 to 507 of the family's 1533-position model. The record is from RNAcentral.